This 253-nucleotide ribosomal RNA is filed under the name uncultured bacterium. RNAcentral describes it as "partial 16S ribosomal RNA". It matches the Rfam family "Bacterial small subunit ribosomal RNA", at positions 524 to 776 of the family's 1533-position model. The record is from RNAcentral.
UACGGAGGGUGCGAGCGUUGUUCGGAAUUAUUGGGCGUAAAGCGCGUGUAGGCGGUUUGUUAAGUCUGAUGUGAAAGCCCCGGGCUCAACCUGGGAAGUGCAUUGGAAACUGGCAGACUUGAGUACGGGAGAGGAGAGUGGAAUUCCCAGUGUAGGAGUGAAAUCCGUAGAUAUUGGGAGGAACACCGGUGGCGAAGGCGGUUCUCUGGGCCUGUUCUGACGCUGAGGAGCGAAAGCGUGGGGAGCAAACAGG